Molecule: ribosomal RNA, 504 nt
Filed under: uncultured bacterium
Lineage: Bacteria
Description: bacterial SSU rRNA
Rfam family: Bacterial small subunit ribosomal RNA
Source: RNAcentral
AACGAACGCUGGCGGCGUGCCUAACACAUGCAAGUCGUACGAGAAAGCGGGCUUCGGCCCGUGAGUAAAGUGGCAGACGGGUGAGUAACACGUGGGUAACCUGCCCGGAGGUGGGGGAUAACCCUCCGAAAGGAGGGCUAAUACCGCAUGACACCUCGCGGCCUCGGCCGUCGAGAUCAAAGCUAGCCUCUACUCGUAAGCUAGCGCCACCGGAGGGGCCCGCGCCCCAUUAGCUUGUUGGUGAGGUAACGGCUCACCAAGGCUGCGAUGGGUAGCCGGCCUGAGAGGGUGAUCGGCCACACUGGAACUGAGACACGGUCCAGACUCCUACGGGAGGCAGCAGUGAGGAAUUUUGCGCAAUGGGCGAAAGCCUGACGCAGCGACGCCGCGUGGAGGACGAAGGCCUUCGGGUCGUAAACUCCUGUCGAGCGGGACGAAUGCCGCAGGGAUGAAUAAGCCUUGCGGUUGACGGUACCGCUGGAGGAAGCCCCGGCUAACUCCGUG